Molecule: ribosomal RNA, 85 nt
Filed under: Paraburkholderia polaris
Lineage: Bacteria; Pseudomonadati; Pseudomonadota; Betaproteobacteria; Burkholderiales; Burkholderiaceae
Description: Paraburkholderia sp. RP-4-7 partial 16S ribosomal RNA
Rfam family: Bacterial small subunit ribosomal RNA
Source: RNAcentral
UUGAACUGAAGAGUUUGAUCCUGGCUCAGAUUGAACGCUGGCGGCAUGCCUUACACAUGCAAGUCGAACGGCAGCACGGGGGCAA